UUGGUUAAGCUAAUAAGAGCGCAGGGUGGAUGCUUGGCACUAAGAGCCGAUGAAAGACGUGAUAAGCUGCGAAAAGCUUCGGGGAGGAGCAAAUAUCCAUUGAUCCGGAGAUAUCUGAAUGGGGAAACCCGGCUGAGAAGACCUCAGUCAUCCAUACGCCAAUACAUAACGUAUGGAAGGGAACCCGCUGAACUGAAACAUCUAAGUAGGCGGAGGAAGAGAAAGAAACAUCGAUUCCCAAAGUAGCGGCGAGCGAAAUGGGAAGAGCCCAAACCAGAGUGCGUGCACUCUGGGGUUACGGACUGCAUAAGUGAGCUGAUUCGUUAAUGGAACGGUCCUGGAAAGACCGGCCAGAGAGAGUGAAAGCCUCGUACAUGAAAACGAUAGGCAGCGGCAGGAUCCAGAGUACCGCGAGACACGUGGAACCUUGCGGGAAUUCGGGGGGACCACCCCCCAAGGCUAAAUACUCCUUAGUGACCGAUAGCGCAUAGUACUGUGAAGGAAAGGUGAAAAGGACCCCGGGAGGGGAGUGAAAGAGAACCUGAAACCCUGUGUUUACAAGCUGUGGAAGCACGUUAAGGUGCAACCGCGUACUUUUUGUAGAACGGUCCGGCGAGUUGCGGAUGCUGGCGAGGUUAAGGAGUAAAGCUCCGGAGCCGAAGCGAGAGCGAGUCUUAAUAGGGCGUAAAGUCAGCAUGUGCAGACCCGAAACCGGGUGACCUAUCCAUGUCCAGGUUGAAGUUCCCGUAAAAGGGAAUGGAGGACCGAACGCACAUCCGUUGAAAAGGGUGGCGAUGAGGUGUGGAUAGGGGAGAAAUUCCAAUCGAAC
This 829-nucleotide ribosomal RNA is filed under the name Clostridium sp. OF13-4. RNAcentral's name for it is "partial 23S ribosomal RNA". It matches the Rfam family "Bacterial large subunit ribosomal RNA", at positions 1 to 838 of the family's 2925-position model. The record is from RNAcentral. Lineage: Bacteria; Bacillati; Bacillota; Clostridia; Eubacteriales; Clostridiaceae.